GAUGAACGCUGGCGGCGUGCCUAAUACAUGCAAGUCGAGCGAACGGACGAGAAGCUUGCUUCUCUGAUGUUAGCGGCGGACGGGUGAGUAACACGUGGAUAACCUACCUAUAAGACUGGGAUAACUUCGGGAAACCGGAGCUAAUACCGGAUAAUAUUUUGAACCGCAUGGUUCAAAAGUGAAAGACGGUCUUGCUGUCACUUAUAGAUGGAUCCGCGCUGCAUUAGCUAGUUGGUAAGGUAACGGCUUACCAAGGCAACGAUGCAUAGCCGACCUGAGAGGGUGAUCGGCCACACUGGAACUGAGACACGGUCCAGACUCCUACGGGAGGCAGCAGUAGGGAAUCUUCCGCAAUGGGCGAAAGCCUGGCGGAGCAACGCCGCGUGAGUGAUGAAGGUCUUCGGAUCGUAAAACUCUGUUAUUAGGGAAGAACAUAUGUGUAAGUAACUGUGCACAUCUUGACGGUACCUAAUCAGAAAGCCACGGCUAACUACGUGCCAGCAGCCGCGGUAAUACGUAGGUGGCAAGCGUUAUCCGGAAUUAUUGGGCGUAAAGCGCGCGUAGGCGGUUUUUUAAGUCUGAUGUGAAAGCCCACGGCUCAACCGUGGAGGGUCAUUGGAAACUGGAAAACUUGAGUGCAGAAGAGGAAAGUGGAAUUCCAUGUGUAGCGGUGAAAUGCGCAGAGAUAUGGAGGAACACCAGUGGCGAAGGCGACUUUCUGGUCUGUAACUGACGCUGAUGUGCGAAAGCGUGGGGAUCAAACAGGAUUAGAUACUCUGGUAGUCCACGCCGUAAACGAUGAGUGCUAAGUGUUAGGGGGUUUCCGCCCCUUAGUGCUGCAGCUAACGCAUUAAGCACUCCGCCUGGGGAGUACGACCGCAAGGUUGAAACUCAAAGGAAUUGACGGGGACCCGCACAAGCGGUGGAGCAUGUGGUUUAAUUCGAAGCAACGCGAAGAACCUUACCAAAUCUUGACAUCCUUUGACAACUCUAGAGAUAGAGCCUUCCCCUUCGGGGGACAAAGUGACAGGUGGUGCAUGGUUGUCGUCAGCUCGUGUCGUGAGAUGUUGGGUUAAGUCCCGCAACGAGCGCAACCCUUAAGCUUAGUUGCCAUCAUUAAGUUGGGCACUCUAAGUUGACUGCCGGUGACAAACCGGAGGAAGGUGGGGAUGACGUCAAAUCAUCAUGCCCCUUAUGAUUUGGGCUACACACGUGCUACAAUGGACAAUACAAAGGGCAGCGAAACCGCGAGGUCAAGCAAAUCCCAUAAAGUUGUUCUCAGUUCGGAUUGUAGUCUGCAACUCGACUACAUGAAGCUGGAAUCGCUAGUAAUCGUAGAUCAGCAUGCUACGGUGAAUACGUUCCCGGGUCU
RNAcentral lists this ribosomal RNA (1372 nucleotides) under uncultured bacterium. Its description in RNAcentral is "bacterial SSU rRNA". It matches the Rfam family "Bacterial small subunit ribosomal RNA", at positions 28 to 1381 of the family's 1533-position model. The record is from RNAcentral.